GUCUCUGGCCAUACCACCCUGAACGUGCCUGAUCUCGUCUGAUCUUGGAAGCUAAGCUGGGUUGGGACUUGUUAGUACUUGGAUGGGAGUAUUGUUUCAUGGAAUUU
Molecule: ribosomal RNA, 107 nt
Filed under: Mesocricetus auratus (golden hamster)
Lineage: Eukaryota; Metazoa; Chordata; Mammalia; Rodentia; Cricetidae
Source: RNAcentral